UUCUGUCGCUGAUGCUCGAAUCUAUGGUUCCAGAUUUCUUUCCUAGGGUUUCUAUCUCCAGUGUUGCCUCACUUUGAGUUUUCUUUAUUGUGUCUACUUCACUUUUUAAGACUAGUGCUAGUGAACCUUAAAAUUUCAAGAGAAAGAACAUUGACAGAACUUUGACUCAUCUAAAGAAACUUUUAACUUACAAAAGAGAUUAGUAUGGCCUGUCUUCAUAAAAUCUUCAUUUCCUUGAGUUAAGUGAAAAUAUAGACUUUCUCCAGGCAUAUGUGAGCUCUAUAGGCUUACAGUUUGCAUGGUCAUUGUGAAGAAGUAUUGCUGGAUUACAGAACACUAUGACACCUUCAGUUAAUUUCAUACUGGAAAUAUAUCCUCCACAUUUGGCAAAGAAGAAUGCAGCAGCCUAGAGAAAUUCACAUCUAGAGAGCCAGGACCUACAAAGGAGGAGAGGAAGGAGUCAAUUUUAAGAUUCUGAUGAUUUUGUAAGGAGCAGAUGGAGAGGGUCAGAAGGCACCUGGGGAGCCCAGGAGAGCUUUGUAGCAACUGAGGUGAGAGAUGAUGGUUCCCAGCAGCUUCUAAUUAAAAGUUUAUUGAUUUGAGCCAAGGUAUUCAUCAAAGGUGUGAUACAUAACAAGUGGCAAAGAUGGAGCUUGAAGUCACACUUAAAUGUAGCUGUCCAUCAAUGCUGCUUAUGGGCAUUUGUAACUAAGACACAUGGGCAUCUCAGUGGAAUUAAUCAGCAUGUGGAUUCCCCUCAACUGAGGGUAGAGUGAAGUCACCAGGCAUACUCGUGCUGUCUGCCUUCCCAUAUUCGGAAUUCGCUUUUGCACUGGUUUCGAGUGACCACACUGACUGUGGGCUUUUGCUGACUUUAAGUGACAGAAGAGAACAGAUGUCUCUGCUUUGCUUUUCUCAGUUUGCCUUGAUCAGAAGCAAUCAAGGCAAUGGGGCUGCUGCUGGGCUCUGUGGGGAAAUCAAGCUUCCGCUGGCCUUCGUGCUGCCUGAGCCCAGAAGCUGCUGCAAUCCUGAAGGCGGUCUGCAUCCCAGCUGGCCCAGAUGCAACUUCCUAAGGCAGGCAAUAAAGGCCGACACAGCAGG
Molecule: long non-coding RNA, 1101 nt
Filed under: Mus musculus (house mouse)
Lineage: Eukaryota; Metazoa; Chordata; Mammalia; Rodentia; Muridae
Description: RIKEN cDNA 4930504C09 gene (4930504C09Rik)
Source: RNAcentral